GAACUUGUAAAAUACAAUUAUUCCUCAUAGAUAUAACAUUUCCAAUCUUUUUGAACAAGAUAAUCUCUCCUAUAUACAUAUCUCUUUGCCCAAAACAGAUAGUUCAAGUAACUUACCAAUCCAAGUAUUGCAAGUAACCAAUAGAACCGGUCAAGAUGGUUCUUGUUUAA
Long non-coding RNA from Telopea speciosissima, 170 nucleotides. RefSeq lists it as uncharacterized. The record is from RefSeq and is a predicted model, not a curated record. Lineage: Eukaryota; Viridiplantae; Streptophyta; Magnoliopsida; Proteales; Proteaceae. The transcript has 3 exons.